RNAcentral lists this long non-coding RNA (560 nucleotides) under Homo sapiens (human). Its description in RNAcentral is "HSALNT0052256". The record is from RNAcentral. Lineage: Eukaryota; Metazoa; Chordata; Mammalia; Primates; Hominidae.
GCCAAAGCAAGCUAAUAGACUGUGUGGUUUUUCACUCUAUCAGAACGUACUUCUGACAGGGUGUUACAGUAUUUUUCUUGCUAAAAAAUGUGAAAAUGAAACCAGAGACAUUUUCAAAAGCCUGCUUUCUGCUCAAAAGAGACUUUCUUCAAAACUGAAAGCUAUAAUUCAUUGUUUAUCUGGGAGAAAUUAUGAAUACUGCCAAAUUUUCGGAGAUGGAACAGUGAAAUUCUGCCUCCAAAUCUUCAAACACUUCAAAGGCAAAAACAUAGUUUUCAGAGGAAAAGAAAAAUUCUGAAGAAAACAUAUCAUGGCAAUUUCAACCGUUCAUUCAUUUUUUCAGUGUCAUUAUAAGAACAGCAUAAAAUUAUUUGUUACUGUGCAUUGGACCCUAUAUUGAUGACUUCAAAUGUAUGUUUCCAGACAAUGUUCAUAGCAAAAUUAAAUAAACCUUGGAAUGACUGCUGCAAUGGAAGAAGCUGCUACAUGAAAGGAAUUUUUACAGGCAAUACAAACAUAAACCCCAAAGUGCAGUUUUACAUGAAUGACAUAAAAUUCAA